UUGAACGCUGGCGGCAGGCCUAACACAUGCAAGUCGCACGGUAACAGGAAGAAGCUUGCUUCUUUGCUGACGAGUGGCGGACGGGUGAGUAAUGUCUGGGAAACUGCCUGAUGGAGGGGGAUAACUACUGGAAACGGUAGCUAAUACCGCAUAACGUCGCAAGACCAAAGGGGGGGACCUUCGGGCCUCUUGCCAUCGGAUGUGCCCAGAUGGGAUUAGCUAGUAGGUGGGGUAACGGCUCACCUAGGCGACGAUCCCUAGCUGGUCUGAGAGGAUGACCAGCCACACUGGAACUGAGACACGGUCCAGACUCCUACGGGAGGCAGCAGUGGGGAAUAUUGCACAAUGGGCGCAAGCCUGAUGCAGCCAUGCCGCGUGUAUGAAGAAGGCCUUCGGGUUGUAAAGUACUUUCAGCGGGGAGGAAGGGAGUAAAGUUAAUACCUUUGCUCAUUGACGUUACCCGCAGAAGAAGCAUCGGCUAACUCCGUG
RNAcentral lists this ribosomal RNA (489 nucleotides) under uncultured bacterium. RNAcentral describes it as "partial 16S ribosomal RNA". It matches the Rfam family "Bacterial small subunit ribosomal RNA", at positions 30 to 507 of the family's 1533-position model. The record is from RNAcentral.